AUUGAACGCUGGCGGCAGGCCUAACACAUGCAAGUCGAGCGGAGCGGCGGACGGGUGAGUAAUGCCUAGGAAUCUGCCUGGUAGUGGGGGAUAACGUCCGGAAACGGGCGCUAAUACCGCAUACUAGCAGAUGAGCCUAGGGCGGUUUAGCUAGGUGGUGGGGGAAAUGCCUACCAAGGCGACGGUCCGUAACUGGUCUGAGAGGAUGAUCAGUCACACUGGAACGGAGACACGGUCCAUACUCCUACGGGAGGCAGCAGUGGGGAAUAGUGGGCAAUGGGCGAGAGCAUGAUCCAGCCAGGCCGCGUGUGUUAAGAAGGUCUUCGGAGUGUAAUGCACUUUAAGUUGGUAGGCGUUACCAGCAGAAUAAGCACCGGCUAACUUCGUGCCAGCAGCCGCGGUAAUUC
This 407-nucleotide ribosomal RNA is filed under the name uncultured bacterium. Its description in RNAcentral is "partial 16S ribosomal RNA". It matches the Rfam family "Bacterial small subunit ribosomal RNA", at positions 30 to 526 of the family's 1533-position model. The record is from RNAcentral.